This 465-nucleotide long non-coding RNA is filed under the name Ananas comosus (pineapple). Its description in RNAcentral is "long non-coding RNA (ACOM_LNC001770)". Lineage: Eukaryota; Viridiplantae; Streptophyta; Magnoliopsida; Poales; Bromeliaceae. The record is from RNAcentral.
GCGUCUUAGAGACAUUAGACCCUGAAACGCAAAUACUCGGUCAGUCAUCUUAACCAAUUACCUCGUCGCAUUUACGACACAAGACAACUCAACCACAAACUCGGGCGGAAGCACACAAGUGCACUCGUUCUAGGCUCUUGGUAUCAUGUCGUCGACCGCUGACACAACCACCUCAAGACAAGAACUCAUACAACUUGAAUCCGUCUCUAAUCACAACUAGAGACAUAUACCAACUUCGACCCAAUCGAAUUAACUUUCGUCGUCGCUAUAGGUUCACGUUUCGCUCACGCACCUAUAACCUUAAGGCUUACCAUCCUAGGGUCUCCUAGGUCAUCCUAGACUCUCUCUUUACUUGCUCUUAUCGCUCUGAUACCAAAACAGCUGUCACGCCAUGCCCCGAAACCACUACCAAUUUGGCACGGUUCGGCCGCGGCGGCGGGCCGCCGAACGGACAGCUCAUCCCCU